GACCAUUAGCUCAGAGGCCAUCAUUUCCUUGCAGCGUCCAGAGCGCGGGAGCCACCACAGGAGCAGGGGCAGGAGCCAGCUUCGUCGCGUGGGAGCCGCUGGAGCCGCAGGACCAGAGCUGCUGUUGCAGAAGCCCCCAAGGCCUCCGCCAACGCUGCCUCAGGAGCCAAAGCCGCCGCCAGAGCCAAUGCAGAAACCAAGGCCACCGCCGCCCUAAGCCAAUGUUGUGGCCUUGAGACCACAGCAACCUUAAACGCCACGUGUAAAACAUAGGAGCCGCUGCCACCAUCGUUGCCGCUGCCGCCGCAGCUGUUGCCAAUGCAGCUGCAAGACCUUGGAGCCUCCGCCGCCGCUGCUGGAGCACAAGAACCGUGGUAGACAAUGCCAGCUGGGGAGAAGGAGCCACUGCCGCCAGAACACGAAGCCGCCGCCCCCAGGUCCAACAACUGCUGGAGACAACGCUGCUUCAGGAGCACGGGAGUCACCGCUUCCAGAGCACAGGAACCAUUGGAGCCUUCAGCGUGUCCAGAUCAUGGGAACCGCUUCCCUCGCUCCUCUGUCACUGCAGUCGCCCACCAGCUGGAGACAAUGUCACUGCCGCCCCCACUGCAGCCAGGACACGGAGCUGCUACCGGAGCCAACCCCCCUGCCCAGAGCCAAUGUUGACACCUCCACCAGAGCACAGGAAGGGCCAGAGCGCGGGAGGAAACGCUGCUACUGUCUCCCUCUUCUGGACACCAGAGCCACCUGCCGCCGCCACCACGUGCAGAGCACAAGAGCCAAAGCCGCCAUCGCCAUUCUUAGCGAUUAAGGAGCCGCAGCCGGCAUCACCUAAUCGCUGGAGCCACGACGCCACCCUCUCGGACUCCAGGAACAGGAGCCGCUGCCAGAGCACAGGAGCCACUGAACGCUGGAGCCACGGCCGGCCUCGGUGAGUUCAGAGCUGCCCAGGACAGGACCCAAGCCAAAAGGACGCUGCGCAAGGCUUGGCCAUG
RNAcentral lists this long non-coding RNA (995 nucleotides) under Marmota monax (woodchuck). Lineage: Eukaryota; Metazoa; Chordata; Mammalia; Rodentia; Sciuridae. The record is from RNAcentral.